This is a non-coding RNA of Vicia faba (fava bean), 333 nucleotides long. The record is from the annotation of a GenBank genome assembly. NCBI's taxonomy places the organism in Eukaryota, Viridiplantae, Streptophyta, Magnoliopsida, Fabales, Fabaceae.
AUGUGUUCUUUCCACUUCCAUGUGACUCUAAUCUCUUCACGUAGAGCGACGCCUAAAAGAAUACCUCGUCUAUCACCUCUAUCUUCAUCGUUCCCUCACUUUCGAUUGAUCCUUCCUCAGAUCUUUGAUCAUCACAUGUUGUUUCCGCGACAUUAUCAUCUUCUUUGUCAUGAUUCUGCUCUGAAGCCCGUCUCAUCUUCCUCGACGGUGUUGUACUGGAAUAGAGGUAACAUCGCCAAAGCCUCCGUGAAACAACGUGUAGACUUAUAUGAAACUCACUAUAAACGGAAUAUCGCACACGAAUUCAGCCUUAAGUUCUUCCAAUUAUCAUAA